UCUUGGUCAUUUAGAGGAAGUAAAAGUCGUAACAAGGUUUCCGUAGGUGAACCUGCGGAAGGAUCAUUACCGAGUUCUCGGGCUUCGGCUCGACUCUCCCACCCUUUGUGAACGUACCUCUGUUGCUUUGGCGGCUCCGGCCGCCAAAGGACCUUCAAACUCCAGUCAGUAAACGCAGACGUCUGAUAAACAAGUUAAUAAACUAAAACUUUCAACAACGGAUCUCUUGGUUCUGGCAUCGAUGAAGAACGCAGCGAAAUGCGAUAAGUAAUGUGAAUUGCAGAAUUCAGUGAAUCAUCGAAUCUUUGAACGCACAUUGCGCCCCUUGGUAUUCCGGGGGGCAUGCCUGUUCGAGCGUCAUUACAACCCUCAAGCUCUGCUUGGAAUUGGGCACCGUCCUCACUGCGGACGCGCCUCAAAGACCUCGGCGGUGGCUGUUCAGCCCUCAAGCGUAGUAGAAUACACCUCGCUUUGCAGUGGUUGGCGUCGCCCGCCGGACGAACCUUCUGAACUUUUCUCAAGGUUGACCUCGGAUCAGGUAGGGAUACCCGCUGAACUUAAGCAUAUCAAUAAGCGGAGGAA
RNAcentral lists this ribosomal RNA (582 nucleotides) under uncultured Lasiodiplodia. RNAcentral's name for it is "eukaryotic LSU rRNA". The stretch from base 207 to 360 matches the Rfam family "5.8S ribosomal RNA". The record is from RNAcentral. Lineage: Eukaryota; Fungi; Ascomycota; Dothideomycetes; Botryosphaeriales; Botryosphaeriaceae.